This 2903-nucleotide ribosomal RNA is filed under the name Escherichia coli. Its description in RNAcentral is "23S ribosomal RNA". It matches the Rfam family "Bacterial large subunit ribosomal RNA". Lineage: Bacteria; Pseudomonadati; Pseudomonadota; Gammaproteobacteria; Enterobacterales; Enterobacteriaceae. The record is from RNAcentral.
GGUUAAGCGACUAAGCGUACACGGUGGAUGCCCUGGCAGUCAGAGGCGAUGAAGGACGUGCUAAUCUGCGAUAAGCGUCGGUAAGGUGAUAUGAACCGUUAUAACCGGCGAUUUCCGAAUGGGGAAACCCAGUGUGUUUCGACACACUAUCAUUAACUGAAUCCAUAGGUUAAUGAGGCGAACCGGGGGAACUGAAACAUCUAAGUACCCCGAGGAAAAGAAAUCAACCGAGAUUCCCCCAGUAGCGGCGAGCGAACGGGGAGCAGCCCAGAGCCUGAAUCAGUGUGUGUGUUAGUGGAAGCGUCUGGAAAGGCGCGCGAUACAGGGUGACAGCCCCGUACACAAAAAUGCACAUGCUGUGAGCUCGAUGAGUAGGGCGGGACACGUGGUAUCCUGUCUGAAUAUGGGGGGACCAUCCUCCAAGGCUAAAUACUCCUGACUGACCGAUAGUGAACCAGUACCGUGAGGGAAAGGCGAAAAGAACCCCGGCGAGGGGAGUGAAAAAGAACCUGAAACCGUGUACGUACAAGCAGUGGGAGCCUCUUUUAUGGGGUGACUGCGUACCUUUUGUAUAAUGGGUCAGCGACUUAUAUUCUGUAGCAAGGUUAACCGAAUAGGGGAGCCGAAGGGAAACCGAGUCUUAACUGGGCGUUAAGUUGCAGGGUAUAGACCCGAAACCCGGUGAUCUAGCCAUGGGCAGGUUGAAGGUUGGGUAACACUAACUGGAGGACCGAACCGACUAAUGUUGAAAAAUUAGCGGAUGACUUGUGGCUGGGGGUGAAAGGCCAAUCAAACCGGGAGAUAGCUGGUUCUCCCCGAAAGCUAUUUAGGUAGCGCCUCGUGAAUUCAUCUCCGGGGGUAGAGCACUGUUUCGGCAAGGGGGUCAUCCCGACUUACCAACCCGAUGCAAACUGCGAAUACCGGAGAAUGUUAUCACGGGAGACACACGGCGGGUGCUAACGUCCGUCGUGAAGAGGGAAACAACCCAGACCGCCAGCUAAGGUCCCAAAGUCAUGGUUAAGUGGGAAACGAUGUGGGAAGGCCCAGACAGCCAGGAUGUUGGCUUAGAAGCAGCCAUCAUUUAAAGAAAGCGUAAUAGCUCACUGGUCGAGUCGGCCUGCGCGGAAGAUGUAACGGGGCUAAACCAUGCACCGAAGCUGCGGCAGCGACACUGUGUGUUGUUGGGUAGGGGAGCGUUCUGUAAGCCUGUGAAGGUGUACUGUGAGGUAUGCUGGAGGUAUCAGAAGUGCGAAUGCUGACAUAAGUAACGAUAAAGCGGGUGAAAAGCCCGCUCGCCGGAAGACCAAGGGUUCCUGUCCAACGUUAAUCGGGGCAGGGUGAGUCGACCCCUAAGGCGAGGCCGAAAGGCGUAGUCGAUGGGAAACAGGUUAAUAUUCCUGUACUUGGUGUUACUGCGAAGGGGGGACGGAGAAGGCUAUGUUGGCCGGGCGACGGUUGUCCCGGUUUAAGCGUGUAGGCUGGUUUUCCAGGCAAAUCCGGAAAAUCAAGGCUGAGGCGUGAUGACGAGGCACUACGGUGCUGAAGCAACAAAUGCCCUGCUUCCAGGAAAAGCCUCUAAGCAUCAGGUGACAUCAAAUCGUACCCCAAACCGACACAGGUGGUCAGGUAGAGAAUACCAAGGCGCUUGAGAGAACUCGGGUGAAGGAACUAGGCAAAAUGGUGCCGUAACUUCGGGAGAAGGCACGCUGAUAUGUAGGUGAAGUCCCUCGCGGAUGGAGCUGAAAUCAGUCGAAGAUACCAGCUGGCUGCAACUGUUUAUUAAAAACACAGCACUGUGCAAACACGAAAGUGGACGUAUACGGUGUGACGCCUGCCCGGUGCCGGAAGGUUAAUUGAUGGGGUCAGCGCAAGCGAAGCUCUUGAUCGAAGCCCCGGUAAACGGCGGCCGUAACUAUAACGGUCCUAAGGUAGCGAAAUUCCUUGUCGGGUAAGUUCCGACCUGCACGAAUGGCGUAAUGAUGGCCAGGCUGUCUCCACCCGAGACUCAGUGAAAUUGAACUCGCUGUGAAGAUGCAGUGUACCCGCGGCAAGACGGAAAGACCCCGUGAACCUUUACUAUAGCUUGACACUGAACAUUGAGCCUUGAUGUGUAGGAUAGGUGGGAGGCUUAGAAGUGUGGACGCCAGUCUGCAUGGAGCCGACCUUGAAAUACCACCCUUUAAUGUUUGAUGUUCUAACGUUGACCCGUGAUCCGGGUUGCGGACAGUGUCUGGUGGGUAGUUUGACUGGGGCGGUCUCCUCCUAAAGAGUAACGGAGGAGCACGAAGGUUGGCUAAUCCUGGUCGGACAUCAGGAGGUUAGUGCAAUGGCAUAAGCCAGCUUGACUGCGAGCGUGACGGCGCGAGCAGGUGCGAAAGCAGGUCAUAGUGAUCCGGUGGUUCUGAAUGGAAGGGCCAUCGCUCAACGGAUAAAAGGUACUCCGGGGAUAACAGGCUGAUACCGCCCAAGAGUUCAUAUCGACGGCGGUGUUUGGCACCUCGAUGUCGGCUCAUCACAUCCUGGGGCUGAAGUAGGUCCCAAGGGUAUGGCUGUUCGCCAUUUAAAGUGGUACGCGAGCUGGGUUUAGAACGUCGUGAGACAGUUCGGUCCCUAUCUGCCGUGGGCGCUGGAGAACUGAGGGGGGCUGCUCCUAGUACGAGAGGACCGGAGUGGACGCAUCACUGGUGUUCGGGUUGUCAUGCCAAUGGCACUGCCCGGUAGCUAAAUGCGGAAGAGAUAAGUGCUGAAAGCAUCUAAGCACGAAACUUGCCCCGAGAUGAGUUCUCCCUGACUCCCUGAGAGUCCUGAAGGAACGUUGAAGACGACGACGUUGAUAGGCCGGGUGUGUAAGCGCAGCGAUGCGUUGAGCUAACCGGUACUAAUGAACCGUGAGGCUUAACCUU